Non-coding RNA from Pelobates cultripes (western spadefoot toad), 240 nucleotides. NCBI's taxonomy places the organism in Eukaryota, Metazoa, Chordata, Amphibia, Anura, Pelobatidae. The record is from the annotation of a GenBank genome assembly.
AUGAGACAAAGGCACCAGGUCAACAUGACUUGACAGGCUCUAAAGACAAUCAUUAACAACAACGGUAAAAUAUCUGACAGAUAUUGUCAGAUAUACGCUACACUAUGAGAUCUCUCUGUUCCUCUUUUUUUAUUAGAUGUCCUUUUACUCCAUAAGUAUCCCUAUUGCUAUUUAGGAGAGUAUUGUAAUGUAUACCUCUUUGUUUAUUUUGGGGUUGGUUCACUUUGUUUUGGAUUGCAC